GGAAAAUUGUGAGGCUAUAUUGAGGCGGCUGCAGAACAAAAAAGAAGAGCUGCAAAAAGAGGCUGACAGGUUGAAUGAUCUAGCUGAGGAAGCACAAAUCAAUGCUUUAAAAGCCGAGGAAGAUGUUUCAAACAUAAUGCUUUUAGCCGAACAAGCUGUUGCUUAUGAGCUCGAGGCUACUCAACGGGUGAAUGAUGCGGAGAUUGCUUUGCAGAAAGCUGAGAAGAACCUAGCUGUAUCACCUCUUGACACUGCAGAAACUUCAGUCGUACAGAAUGGAUCAUCAGCUCUAGGCCAAGUAUCAGUUGAUGGGACACUUUGUGAGGAUGAGGUAUUCCCUAGAAAUUCAGUUGAGAGUGUUAUUGAUAAAGAUCGGGAGGUACAACUGGAGGAUGCUUGGGUGGCCAGUGGGCCUUUGUCUGAUGAGAGUGACGAUGAAGAUAGAAAGUUAGUUCUAGACUCCUCAAAAGAUUCUGAUUCUGAUGCAGAAAAACCAAAAAGUGUUCAAACUGUGAGGCAGGAGGUCAACAAGGAAUCAGCCAGGGACAGUUCACCGCUUAGUGCUCCCAAAACAUUAUUGAAGAAAUCAUCCCGUUUCUUGCCUGCAUCUUUCUUCUCAUUUCCCUCAGAUGGUGAAGAGUUCACACCUGCUUCAGUUUUCCAGAGUCUCAUUGAGUCGGCAAGGAAUCAAUUGCCCAAGCUGGUGGUUGGCUCAUUACUGAUGGGAGCAGGAAUUGCCUUUUACGUCAAUCGAUCAGAGCGAGUUUUUCAGCAGCCAGACAUAAUUACCACAAGCAUUGAUGAGGUCUCGACAAAUGCAAGACCUCUGGUUCGACAAAUAAGAAAACUGCCCAAGAAACUUAAGACACUAAUGGAGAUGCUUCCUCAUCAAGAGAUAAAUGAGGAAGAAGCUUCUCUUUUUGACAUGUUAUG
RNAcentral lists this unclassified non-coding RNA (933 nucleotides) under Hevea brasiliensis (rubber tree). The record is from RNAcentral. Lineage: Eukaryota; Viridiplantae; Streptophyta; Magnoliopsida; Malpighiales; Euphorbiaceae.